CGGGUGCGGUAUACACGUCGCUUUUACACGCCACCGUCCAGUGCACGGUGAAGCGAAGGGCUAGUGUGUGCGCGUGUGUGUGUGUGUGUGCUAUCUAACAUCCUUUUCCCAGGGACGCUGGCAACGUUCCUGGAGCUCGCCAGCGCGCCUCGCGUUCGGGUUUUCGAGGGUGAAUCCAGGCUGCCAGGGAACAGCACUGCUCACAGAACGGCCCGGGGUAUAGACAUCCCUUUUUACUACGAGGCUUCCUCCCCCCACACACUCUCACGCUCUCAGUCGCUCUCUCUCUCGUCCUUUUCCUGCGCUGAACAGAUCACCGAGCCGAGCCAUCGCAGCAGCCCGUUUCGCAGCCCGUUUCGGGAGGUGUGGUCGUGAUGUGAAAUUUUUCCAGUAACCAGUCACGAGCGGGAGUUCGGUGCGUGUACAUUUCGUCCAGUGCGGUUAAGCCCCCGUGUCGUUAUCGUAGUCUCGGUUUGCCGUGAGAAAUAGUAGAACGUGGGUUUUUUUUAUUUCGUUGCCUUUCGUUCAACUGUACUGCCUUGAAGGAAGUAGUUUGGUGUCGCCCGUUAGUUCGUGCUCGGUGUUGCUGGAGAGGUGGACGUUACUUUUUGGUGCGCGCAGUUGUGUGAAAGCAGAUAGACAAAUUGGUAGCAGCGGCUACAAAACAGGCAAAUGGUGUAUACUCGCAUCGAAGAGCAUUCGUGGAACGCUGGAACAAAAGGUCUCCUUCUACACGGGAAGGGAGUAGGAGAGCUACGGUUUAACAAUCAAAUUGUAGGACAGUCUGCGUUCGCUUGCGACGGGGCAGAGAAGCAUGGAGGCGAAAGAUGUAAAACAUUACGAACAAUACAA
Molecule: long non-coding RNA, 852 nt
Organism: Anopheles merus
Lineage: Eukaryota; Metazoa; Arthropoda; Insecta; Diptera; Culicidae
Exons: 2
Source: RefSeq, a predicted model, not a curated record